This 72-nucleotide transfer RNA is filed under the name Caudoviricetes sp. Its description in RNAcentral is "tRNA-Arg". It matches the Rfam family "tRNA". From Rfam's summary of the family: Transfer RNA (tRNA) molecules are approximately 80 nucleotides in length. Their secondary structure includes four short double-helical elements and three loops (D, anti-codon, and T loops). Further hydrogen bonds mediate the characteristic L-shaped molecular structure. tRNAs have two regions of fundamental functional importance: the anti-codon, which is responsible for specific mRNA codon recognition, and the 3' end, to which the tRNAs corresponding amino acid is attached (by aminoacyl-tRNA synthetases). tRNAs cope with the degeneracy of the genetic code in two manners: having more than one tRNA (with a specific anti-codon) for a particular amino acid; and 'wobble' base-pairing, i.e. permitting non-standard base-pairing at the 3rd anti-codon position. Lineage: Duplodnaviria; Heunggongvirae; Uroviricota; Caudoviricetes. The record is from RNAcentral.
GCCCCAAUAGCUCAACGGAUAGAGCAUCGGUCUUCUAAACCGAGGAUUUAGGUUCGAUUCCUAGUUGGGGUA